RNAcentral lists this transfer RNA (68 nucleotides) under Solenaia carinata. Its description in RNAcentral is "tRNA-Asn". The record is from RNAcentral. Lineage: Eukaryota; Metazoa; Mollusca; Bivalvia; Unionida; Unionidae.
GGGUAAAAGCUUCGUAAGCAACUAACUGUUAAUUAGUAGACCACGACUUCAAAACACUCGUUUACCCC